This is a long non-coding RNA of Brassica rapa (field mustard), 649 nucleotides long. RefSeq lists it as uncharacterized. Lineage: Eukaryota; Viridiplantae; Streptophyta; Magnoliopsida; Brassicales; Brassicaceae. The record is from RefSeq and is a predicted model, not a curated record.
UGGAUUCAUUGUGUUCGUAGUGGGUGCUGGUGGGGGAGCACCCGUCUGGCGUGUGCUUACUCUAUCCCCAAAGGGCCUCCCAUGUCUAUCAACCCUUGCCUUGAAGACAAAGUGGUGAUUUCUUCAUCACGUUUCUGUGGGCAGUUUCUUCUGGAGUGCAAGAGCGAGAAGCAGUGUGAACAGUGUUCAUGGUUCUCAAGGGUUCCCAAUUCCUGGCCUACCCUGCAGACCAUGUCAUCUUGCCAAUAGUGGAGCGGGAGACCUUUGAUUCUGAUCCAGAAAGGGAUCAUGGAUGGAAAGGAGUUGGAUAUCACCGGUUCCCACCUCUGGAGUAUGACCAUCCAGUAAGCAAAGUGGUUCCAUUUACGCGGGAGGGCUGGGAUGAGGGCCCACAUCUUCUGUUCAUGCGGGUUGGUAAGCCGUCCGAUCAGAGUGAGGGCAUUGUCUUUGAUUAGCGCUGAGUGGAUUGUUAGUAACCCCGCUGCUGGAGGAGUUAGGAGUCGACUCCUAGCACCCGUAAACUAUGGUUGAGAUGCUCUAAAGCUUAAGAUACUUGAAAGUUUCAGCUUGUGGAUAUGAUUCUGGAUCGAGAUUGUGGUUUGUAUGAGGAUGGAAGGAACUUCUCGGAGGAUGCUACUUCGAGAUAAGG